UUCUUCAUAAUCAUGAUAUGCCUGUGUAAGGGAAAUAACUCUACCUAAAUCGAAGACAUACUUUUUAUACAUAAGUAAAUGUACUAAUUUAAAAAAAAAAACAUGCAGAAAGUAUUUCCGAAUAACCAAAUUUGUCAAGAUACAAAUUACUUACAUAAGUUACAUUGAAGUUGAAUAACCUAUUAAUACAUGGAAUAAUAAACUUGACAAUGUCAUGAAAGAAAAACAAAGUAUAUUAUGUAUUAAGAAUAUUUUAUAGAUAUGAUUAUGUUUAAAAUAAUUUAGAAUAAACCAACUGUUG
This 301-nucleotide long non-coding RNA is filed under the name Mytilus galloprovincialis (Mediterranean mussel). Lineage: Eukaryota; Metazoa; Mollusca; Bivalvia; Mytilida; Mytilidae. The record is from RNAcentral.